This 187-nucleotide ribosomal RNA is filed under the name Deltaproteobacteria bacterium. RNAcentral's name for it is "partial 16S ribosomal RNA". It matches the Rfam family "Bacterial small subunit ribosomal RNA", at positions 1 to 182 of the family's 1533-position model. The record is from RNAcentral. Lineage: Bacteria; Pseudomonadati; Myxococcota; Myxococcia.
UUAAUUGGAGAGUUUGAUCCUGGCUCAGAACGAACGCUGGCGGCGUGCCUAACACAUGCAAGUCAACGAGAAAUCAUCUUCUAUGAAGGUGAGAGUAAAGUGGCGCACGGGUGAGUAACGCGUGGGUAACCUGCCCCUGAAUCUGGGAUAAUCCGCCGAAAGGCGGCCUAAUACCGGAUAAUAUCUC